UAUGGUGAUCUUCAGGUUAGCCCUGAUAUUU
This 31-nucleotide non-coding RNA is filed under the name Mus musculus (house mouse). The record is from RNAcentral. Lineage: Eukaryota; Metazoa; Chordata; Mammalia; Rodentia; Muridae.